Molecule: non-coding RNA, 206 nt
Organism: Pelobates cultripes (western spadefoot toad)
Lineage: Eukaryota; Metazoa; Chordata; Amphibia; Anura; Pelobatidae
Source: the annotation of a GenBank genome assembly
GUUAUACGUGGAAGACUUCGCUGAACACAAAUAUUAAUGUUGCAAAACAGUAAAAUGUAUUACAACGAUUAUAUCAUCAGUGAAAGUGACGUUUUUUGCAAUUUUCCCACACAAACGGCACUUACACUGUUGAUAUAAUUGUUGUUAUACAGUUUGCGGUUUUGAAACACUAAUAUUUGUGUUCAGCGAAGUCUCCCGAGUAUAAC